Molecule: unclassified non-coding RNA, 378 nt
Filed under: plant metagenome
Description: partial contains 5.8S ribosomal RNA, internal transcribed spacer 2, and large subunit ribosomal RNA
Rfam family: 5.8S ribosomal RNA (bases 1-105)
Source: RNAcentral
GAAAUGCGAUAAGUAAUGUGAAUUGCAGAAUUCAGUGAAUCAUCGAAUCUUUGAACGCACCUUGCGCUCCUUGGUAUUCCUUGGAGCAUACCUGUUUGAGUAUCAUGAAAUCUUCAAAGUAAAUCUUUUGUUAACUCAAUUGGCUUCUACUUUGGUAUUGGAGGUCUUUGCAGCUUCACACCUGCUCCUCUUUGUUCAUUAGCUGGAUCUCAGUGUUAUGCUUGGUUCCACUCGGCGUGAUAAGUUAUCUAUCGCUGAGGACACUGUAAAAGGUGGCCAAGGUAAAUGCAGAUGAACCGCUUCUAAUAGUCCAUUGACUUGGACAAUACUUUUAUGAUCUGAUCUCAAAUCAGGUAGGACUACCCGCUGAACUUAAGC